GGCAUGCAAGUCGCGCGACAAGCCAUUUUUAGCUUGCUAUUAAUGGUGGAGGAGCGGCGUAAGGGAGAGUAACGGGUGGAUUAUCUACCCUCAGGUCUGGGAUAGCCACGGGAAACUGUGGGUAAUACCGGAUAAUAUCUGCGGAUCAAAGGUGUGAUUCCGCCUGGGGAUGAGUCCGCCUCCUAUUAGCUUGUUGGUGGGGUAACGGCCUACCAAGGCUACGAUGGGUACCGGGUGUGAGAGCAUGGCCCGGCUCACUGGGACUGAGACACUGCCCAGACACCUACGGGUGGCUGCAGUCGAGAAUCUUCGGCAAUGGGCGCAAGCCUGACCGAGCGAUGCCGCGUGCGGGAUGAAGGCCUUCGGGUUGCAAACCGCUGUCAGUAGGGAGGAAAUGUAUGGGGGUCAUCCCCCAUGCUUGACCUAUCUUCAGAGGAAGGACGGGCUAAGUUCGUGCCAGCAGCCGCGGUAAGACGAACCGUCCAAACGUUAUUCGGAAUUACUGGGCUUAAAGGGUGCGUAGGCGGCGCGGUCAGUCGGAUGUGAAAUCGUACAGCUCAACUGUACAACUGCGUCCGAAACUACCGUGCUUGAGGAAGGCAGAGGUGAGCGGAACUCAGGGUGGAGCGGUGAAAUGCGUUGAUAUCCUGG
Molecule: ribosomal RNA, 651 nt
Filed under: uncultured bacterium
Lineage: Bacteria
Description: bacterial SSU rRNA
Rfam family: Bacterial small subunit ribosomal RNA
Source: RNAcentral